CUAGGAUUAGAUACCCUAUUAUUUGAAAUGUAAAAACUAAAGUAUUAAUAGAUGUGGACUUUAAACUUAAAAAAUUUGGCGGUAUUUUAGUCUAUUCAGAGGAACCUGUUUUGUAAUCGAUAAUCCACGUUGAACCUUACUUUAAUUUAUAAAUUAGUUUAUAUACCGUCGUUAUAAAAAAUUUUAUAAGAAUAAUAAUUUUUAAAAUUAUAUAUCAGAUCAAGGUGUAGCUUAUAUUAAAGAAAAUAAUGGGUUACAAUAAAUUUAUUUAUAUGAAUAUAAAAAUGAAAAAUUUAUUGAAAGAGGAUUUGAAAGUAAAAUUAUAAAGAUUAAUGAUUUGAUUUUAGCUCUAAAAUAUGUACAUAUCGCCCGUCACUCUUAUUAUUAAAAUAAGAUAAG
Molecule: ribosomal RNA, 399 nt
Filed under: Melaloncha elongata
Lineage: Eukaryota; Metazoa; Arthropoda; Insecta; Diptera; Phoridae
Description: partial 12S ribosomal RNA
Source: RNAcentral